GGCUUCGUAGCUCAGUUGGUUAGAGUGUCGCACUGACAUUGCGAUGUCAUGUUCAAACCCCGUUGAAGUCC
RNAcentral lists this transfer RNA (71 nucleotides) under Acropora cervicornis. Its description in RNAcentral is "tRNA-Val". It matches the Rfam family "tRNA". Rfam says of the family: Transfer RNA (tRNA) molecules are approximately 80 nucleotides in length. Lineage: Eukaryota; Metazoa; Cnidaria; Anthozoa; Scleractinia; Acroporidae. The record is from RNAcentral.